GAUGAACGCUGGCGGCGUGCCUAAUACAUGCAAGUCGAGCGGCAGCGCGAGUAGUUUACUACUUGGCGGCGAGCGGCGGACGGCUGAGUAACACGUAGGAACGUACCCCGAAGUGAGGGAUAACUGCUCGAAAGAGUAGCUAAUACCGCAUGUGAUCUAAGGAUUAAAGCUUUAUGCGCUUUGGGAACGGCCCGCGUCCGAUUAGCUAGUUGGUGAGGUAAAAGCUUACCAAGGCGACGAUCGGUAGCUGGUCUGAGAGGAUGAUCAGCCAGACUGGGACUGAGACACGGCCCAGACUCCUACGGGAGGCAGCAGUAGGGAAUUUUCCACAAGGGGCGAAAGCCUGAUGGAGCAACGCCGCGUGCAGGAUGAAUGCCUUCGGGUUGUAAACUGCUUUUAUAUGUGACGAUUGUGACGGUAGCAUAGGAAUAAGGAUCGGCUAACUCCGUGCCAGCCGCCGCAGUAA
This 466-nucleotide ribosomal RNA is filed under the name uncultured bacterium. RNAcentral describes it as "partial 16S ribosomal RNA". It matches the Rfam family "Bacterial small subunit ribosomal RNA", at positions 28 to 523 of the family's 1533-position model. The record is from RNAcentral.